RNAcentral lists this ribosomal RNA (722 nucleotides) under uncultured bacterium. RNAcentral's name for it is "bacterial SSU rRNA". It matches the Rfam family "Bacterial small subunit ribosomal RNA", at positions 8 to 728 of the family's 1533-position model. The record is from RNAcentral.
AGAGUUUGAUCAUGGCUCAGAUUGAACGCUGGCGGUAUGCUUAACACAUGCAAGUCGAACGGUAGCAGGCCUUCGGGCGCUGACGAGUGGCGGACGGGUGAGUAACGCGUAGGAAUCUGCCUCAUAGUGGGGGACAACGUGGGGAAACUCACGCUAAUACCGCAUACGCCCUACGGGGGAAAGCGGGGGAUCGUAAGACCUCGCGCUAUGAGAUGAGCCUGCGUUAGAUUAGCUAGUUGGUAGGGUAAAGGCCUACCAAGGCGACGAUCUAUAGCUGGUCUGAGAGGACGAUCAGCCACACUGGGACUGAGACACGGCCCAGACUCCUACGGGAGGUAGCAGUGGGGAAUAUUGGACAAUGGGCGGAAGCCUGAUCCAGCAAUACCGCGUGUGUGAAGAAGGCCUUAGGGUUGUAAAGCACUUUCAAUUGGGAGGAAAACCUGCCGGUCAAUACCCGGUAGCUUGACAUUACCUUUAGAAGAAGCACCGGCUAACUCCGUGCCAGCAGCCGCGGUAAUACGGAGGGUGCGAGCGUUAAUCGGAAUUACUGGGCGUAAAGCGUGCGUAGGCGGUUCGUUAAGUCAGAUGUGAAAGCCCUGGGCUCAACCUGGGAACGGCAUUUGAAACUGGCGGACUAGAGUUUAGUAGAGGGGAGUGGAAUUUCAGGUGUAGCGGUGAAAUGCGUAGAUAUCUGAAGGAACACCAGUGGCGAAGGCGACUCC